This 11027-nucleotide long non-coding RNA is filed under the name Xyrichtys novacula (pearly razorfish). The record is from RNAcentral. Lineage: Eukaryota; Metazoa; Chordata; Actinopteri; Labriformes; Labridae.
GGGGUCAGGAGUUAAUUUGUCUUGAAAAGUAUUUAUCUUUUCGUCAUUGCUGUUAGGGUUCAGAUGUUUUUUGUUUAGUUAUCUGAGGAAUGUAGUGUUAGUAUAGGUUCCAAGGUGGAGGAUUCUUUGGAAUUCACUCUCACCCUUGAAACUGGAAGAUCUUAGAUUCUAUAAAGGGGGUGGGGGGGGGGGGUUAGAGGUUGUGUGCACAGAAGGAGCAUGGGCUGAGACUAUUCUCGGAAUGAUAUUGUGACAAGUCUGUCUGAAGGCAAGUGGCUGGUUAGGUGUGGGUAAGAGAUACAGUGAUAGCCCCUGCUUUCGUCAGUUGACUUGGCAGUUUGGGGUAGGCUGAUCAAGGGCUUGCACUGGCCGGCGCAUGUUAACCUGUCACAAGUUCCAGUCGAGUCUACGAGCUCAAUCUGUGUGUAAAAAUUAUGUGUUGGUAGAAAGUUUAAUGACUCAGCUCAGUUGGUAUGCUAUGCUGUCUAUCUUUUAGACUAUGUGUUUGUAGAGCAAUAUUAUGUAUAUAUUAUAUUACAGGACUAGGAAAAGGUUAAAGGUUUUUGGCGUGAGGGUUAAAAUCACUGUCCAAAACCUUUGUAGGAACUCUUUUCCAACCUUUUGGAGGGAGCUAGACUAAAAAAAAAAAAGAAAAAUGAAAAAAAAAAUGUUUGGGGUGUGAAGGCUUCCUUAAGGUAAUACCCGUGUACUAGUUUCUAGGCUAGGGUAAGGUUUAAGGUUUUUAGUGUUAGGGUUAAAGUCACUGUGCAAUAUUUUUUAAGGAACAUGUUUAAGACCUUUUGGAGUUAGUUAGACAAAAGAAAAUGAAAAAUAAAAAAAAAGUGGGGGGAUGUUAGGGCUUCCUUUAGGUAAUACCCGGGUAUUAGGUUACGGGGCUGGGGAAAGGUUUAAGGGCUUUGGUGUUAGGGUUAAAAUCACUGUCCAAAACCUUUGUAGGAACUCUUUUCCAACCAUUUGGAGUUAGUUAGACCAAAAAAAAAUAAAUAUUAAAAAAAAUGGGGUGUUAAGGCUUCCUUAAGGUUAUACCAGGGUAAUAGGUUACAGGGCUAGGUAAAGGGUAAAGGUUUUCGGCGUGAGGGUUAAGAUCAACGUCCAAAACCUUUGUAGGAACUCUUUUCCAACCUUUUGGAGUUAGUUAGACCAAAAAAAAUGAAGAAUGAAAAAAAAAAUAUUUAGGGUGUUCGGGCUUCCUGAAGGUAAUACCCAAGUAUUAGGUUUUGGGGCUAGGGUAAGGUUUAAGGUUUUUGGCGUAAGGGUUAAAAUCACUGUCCAAAACCUUUGUGGGAACAAGUUUCAGACCUUUUGGAGUUAGUUACACCAAAAAAAAUGUAAAAUGAAAAAAAUAUAUUUGGGGUGUUAGUGCUCCCUGAAGGUAAUACCCGGGUAUUAGGUUAUGGGGCUAGGGUAAGGUUCAAGGUUUUUGGCAUUAGGGUCAAAAUCACUGUACAAAACCUUUGUGGGAACAAGUUUCAGACCUUUUGGAGUUAGUUAGACCAAAAAAUAACGAAAAAUGAAAAAAAAUAUUUGGGGUUUUCGGGCUUCCUCAAGGUAAUACCCGGGUAUUAGGUUUUGGGGCUAGGGUAAGGUUUAAGGUUUUUGGCGUUAGGGUUAAAAUCACUGUCCAAAACCUUUGUAGGAACUCUUUUCCAACCUUUUGGAGUUAGUUUGACCAAAAAAGAAAAAGAAAAAAGAAAAAAAAAGAUUUGGGGUUUUCGGGCUUCCUGAAGGUAAUACCUGGGUAUUAGGUUAUGGGGCUAGGGUAAGGUUUAAGGUUUUUGGCGUUAGGGUUUAAAUCACUGUCCAAAACCUUUUUAGGAACAUGUUUCAGACCUUUUGGAGUUAGUUAGACCAAAAAAUAACGAAAAAUGAAAAAAAAAUAUUUGGGGUGUUCAGGCUUCCUGAAGGUAAUACACGGUUUCGGUUAUGGGGCUAUGGUCAGGUUUAAGGUUUUUGGCGUUAGGUGUUAAAAUCACUGUCCAAAACCUUUGUAGGAACUCUUUUCAAACCUUUUGGAGUUAGUUUGACAAAAAAAGAAAAAGAAAAAAGAAAAAAAAAUAUUUGGGGUUUUCGGGCUUCCUGAAGGUAAUACCCGGGUAUUAGGUUAUGGGGCUAGGGUAAGGUUUAAGGUUUUUGGCAUGAGGGUUAAAAACACUGUCCAAAACCUUUGUAGGAACUCUUUUCCAACCUUUUGGAGUAAGUAAGACCAAAAAAAAAUGAAAAAAGAAAAAAAAAUAGUUGGGGAUUUCGCGCUUCCUGAAGGUAAUACCCAGGUAUUAGGUUAUGGGGCUAGGGUAAGGUUUAAGGUUUUUGGCGUUAAGGUUAAAAUCACUGCCAAAAACUUUGUAGGAACUCUUUUCCAACCUUUUUGGAGUUAGUUAGACCAAAAAAAAUGAAAAAUGAAAAUAAAUAUUGGGGGUAUUCGGGCUUCCUGAAGGUCAUACCCGGGUAUUAGGUUAUGGGGCUAGGGUAAGGUUUAAGGUUUUUGGCGUUAGAGUUAAAAUCUGUGUCCAAAACCUUUGUAGGAACAUGUUUCAGACCUUUUGGAGUAAGUUAGACCAAAAAAUAACGAAAAAUAAAAAAAAUAUAUUUGGGGUUUUCGGGCUUCCUGAAGGUAAUACCCAGGUAUUAGGUUAUGGGGCUAGGGUAGGGUUUAAGGUUUUUGGCGUUAAGGUUAAAAUCACUGUCCAAAACCUUUUUAGGAACAUGUUUCAGAACUUUUGGAGUUGGUUACACCAAAAAAAAUGUAAAAUGAUAAAAAAAAUAGUUGGGGUUUUCGGGCUUCCUGAAGGUAAUACCCGGGUAUUAGGUUAUGGGGCUAGGGUAAGGUUUAAGGUUUUUGGCGUUAGGUGUUAAAAUCACUGUCCAAAACCUUUGUAGGAACUCUUUUCCAACCUUUUGGAGUUAGUUAGACCAAAAAAAAAAGAAAUAAGAAAAAAAAAAUUGGGGGUUAUCGGGCUUCCUGUAUGUAAUACUAUUAUUAGGUUAUGGGGAUAUGGUAAGGUUUAAGGUUUUUGGCAUGAGGGUUAUAAUCACUGUCCAAAACCUUUGUAGGAACUCUUUUCCAACCUUUUGGAGUUAGUUAGACCAAAAAAAAAGAAAAAUGAAAAAAAAUAUAUUUGGGGUGUUCGGGCUUCCUAAAGGUAAUACCCGGGUAUUAGGUUAUGGGACUAGGGUAAGGAUCAAGGUUUUUGGGGUUAGGGUUAAAAUCACUGUCCAAAACCUUUGUAGCAACUCUUUUCCAACCUUUUGGAGUUAGUUAGAACAAAAAAAAUGAAAAAUGAAAAAAAAUUUGGGGGGUAUUCGGGCUUCCUGAAGGUCAUACCCGGGUAUUAGGUUAUGGGGCUAGGGUAAGGUUUAAGGUUUUUGGCGUUAGAGUUAAAAUCUGUGUCCAAAACCUUUGUAGGAACAUGUUUCAGACCUUUUGGAGUUAGUUAGACCAAAAAAUAACGAAAAAUGAAAAAAAAUAUUUGGGGUUUUCGGGCUUCCUGAAGGUAAUACCUGGGUAUUAGGUUAUGGGGCUGGUAAGGUUUAAGGUUUUGGGUGUUAGGGUUAAAAUCACUGUCCAAAACCUUUAUAGGCACUCUUUUCCAACCUUUUGGAUUUAGUUUGACUAAAAAAAAAGAAAAAUAAAAAAAUAUAUUUGGGGUUUUCGGGCUUCCUGAAGGUAAUACCCGGGUAUUAGGUGAUGGGGCUAGGGUAGGGUUUAAGGUUUUUGGCGUUAGGGUUAAAAUCACUGUCCAAAACCUUUUAGGAACAUGUUUCAGAACUUUUGUAGUUGGUUACACCAAAAAAAAUGUAAAAUGAUAAAAAAAAUAUUUGGGGUUUUCGGGCUUCCUGAAGGUAAUACCCGGGUAUUAGGUUAUGGGGCUAGGGUAAGGUUUAAGGUUUUUGGCGUUAGGUGUUAAAAUCACUGUCCAAAACCUUUGUAGGAACUCUUUUCCAACCUUUUGGAGUUAGUUUGACCAAAAAAGAAAAAGAAAAAAGAAAAAAAAAUUUGGGGUUAUCGGGCUUCCUGAAGGUAAUACCUGGGUAUUAGGUUAUGGGGCUAGGGUAAGGUUUAAGGUUUUUGGCGUUAAGGUUUAAAUCACUGUCCAAAAGCUUUUUAGAAACAUGUUUCAGACCUUUUGGAGUUGGUUACACAAAAUAAAUGUAAAAUGAAAAAAAAAUAUUUGGAGUGUUCAGGCUUCCUGAAGGUAAUAGACGGUUUUGGUUAUGGGGCAAUGGUAAGGUUUAAGGUUUGUGGCGUUAGGGUUAAAAUCUGUGUCCAAAACCUUUGUAGGAACAUGUUUCAGACCUUUUGGAGUUAGUUAGACCAAAAAAUAACGAAAAAUGAAAAAAAAUAUUUGGGGUUUUCGGGCUUCCUGAAGGUAAUACCCGGGUAUUAGGUUAUGGGGCUAGGGUAAGGUUUAAGGUUUUUGGCAUGAGGGUUAAAAUCACUGUCCAAAACCUUUGUAGGAACUCUUUUCCAACCUUUUGGAGUUAGUUAGACCAAAAAAAAAGAAAAAUGAAAAAAAAUUGGGGGUAUUCGGGCUUCCUGAAGGUAAUACCCGGGUAUUAGGUUAUGGGGCUAGGGUAAGGUUUAAGGUUUUUGGCGUUAGAGUUAAAAUCUGUGUCCAAAACCUUUGUAGGAACAUGUUUCAGACCUUUUGGAGUUAGUUAGACCAAAAAAUAAUGAAAAAUGAAAAAGAAUAUUUGGGGUUUUCGGGCUUCCUGAAGGUAAUACCUGGGUAUUACGUUUUGGGGCUAGGGUAAGGUUUAAGGUUUUGGGUGUUAGGGUUAAAAUCACUGUCCAAAACCUUUAUAGGCACUCUUUUCCAACCUUUUGGAUUUAGUUUGACUAAAAAAACAAGAAAAAUAAAAAAAAUAUAUUUGGGGUUUUCGGGCUUCCUGAAGGUAAUUCCCGGGUAUUAGGUUAUGGGGCUAGGGUAGGGUUUAAGGUUUUUGGCGUUAGGGCUAAAAUCACUGUCCAAAACCUUUUUAGGAACAUGUUUCAGAACUUUUGGAGUUGGUUACACCAAAAAAAAUGUAAAAUGAUAAAAAAAAUAUUUGGGGUUUUCGGGCUUCCUGAAGGUAAUACCCGGGUAUUAGGUUAUGGGGCAAGGUAAGGUUUAAGGUUUUUGGCGUUAGAUGUUAAAAUCACUGUCCAAAACCUUUGAAGGAACUCUUUUCCAACCUUUUGGAGUUAGUUUGACCAAAAAAGAAAAAGAAAAAAGAAAAAAAAAUUUGGGGUUAUCGGGCUUCCUGAAGGUAAUACCUGGGUAUUAGGUUAUGGGGCUAGGGUAAGGUUUAAGGUUUUUGGCGUUAGGGUUAUAAUCACUGUCCAAAACCUUUUUAGGAACAUGUUUCAGACCUUUUGGAGUUGGUUACACAAAAUAAAUGUAAAAUGAAAAAAAAAUAUUUGGAGUGUUCAGGCUUCCUGAAGGUAAUACACGGUUUUGGUUAUGGGGCUAGGGUAAGGUUUAAGGUUUUUGGCGUUAGGGUUAAAAUCUGUGUCCAAAACCUUUGUAAGAACAUGUUUCAGACCUUUUGGAGUUAGUUAGACCAAAAAAUAACGAAAAAUGAAAAAAAAUAUUUGGGGUUUUCGGGCUUCCUGAAGGUAAUACCCGGGUAUUAGGUUAUGGGGCUAGGGUAAGGUUUAAGGUUUUUGGCAUGAGGGUUAAAAACACUGUCCAAAACCUUUGUAGGAACUCUUUUCCAACCUUUUGGAGUAAGUAAGACCAAAAAAAAAGAAAAAAGAAAAAAAAAUAGUUGGGGAUUUCGUGCUUCCUGAAGGUAAUACCCGGGUAUUAGGUUAUGGGGCUAGGGUAAGGUUUAAGGUUUUUGGCGUUAAGGUUAAAAUCACUGCCAAAACCUUUGUAGGAACUCUUUUCCAACCUUUUUGGAGUUAGUUAGACCAAAAAAAAUGAAAAAUGAAAAUAAAUAUUGGGGGUAUUCGGGCUUCCUGAAGGUAAUACCCGGGUAUUAGGUUAUGGGGCUAGGGUAAGGUUUAAGGUUUUUGGCGUUAGAGUUAAAAUCUGUGUCCAAAACCUUUGUAGGAAUAUGUUUCAGACCUUUUGGAGUUAGUUAGACCAAAAAAUAACGAAAAAUGAAAAAAAAUAUUUGGGGUUUUCGGGCUUCCUCAAGGUAAUACCCGGGUAUUAGGUUUUGGGGCUAGGGUAAGGUUUAAGGUUUUUGGCGUUGGGGUUAAAAUCACUGUCCAAAACCUUUGUGGCAACUCUUUUCCAACCUUUUGGAGUUAGUUAGAACAAAACAAAAAUGAAAAAUGAAACAAAAAAUAUUUGGGGUGUUCGGGCUUCCUGAAGGUAAUACCCGGGUAUUAGGUUAUGGGGCUAGGGUAAGGUUUAAGGUUUUUGGCGUUAGGUGUUAAAAUCACUGUCCAAAACCUUUGUAGGAACUCUUUUCCAACCUUUUGGAGUUAGUUUGACCAAAAAAGAAAAAGAAAAAAAAAAAAAAAAAAAUUUGGGGGUUAUCGGGCUUCCUGAAGGUAAUACCUGGGUAUUAGGUUAUGGGGCUAGGGUAAGGUUUAAGGUUUUUGGCGUUAGGGUUAAAAUCACUGUCCAAAACCUUUUUAGGAACAUGUUUCAGACCUUUUGGAGUUAGUUAGACCAAAAAAUAACGAAAAAUGAAAAAAAAAUAUUUGGGGUGUUCAGGCUUCCUGAAGGUAAUACACGGUUUUGGUUAUGGGGCUAUGGUCAGGUUUAAGGUUUUUGGCGUUAGGGUUAAAAUCUGUGUCCAAAACCUUUGUAGGAACUCUUUUCAAACCUUUUGGAGUUAGUUUGACAAAAAAAGAAAAAGAAAAAAGAAAAAAAAAUAUUUGGGGUUUUCGGGCUUCCUGAAGGUAAUACCCGGGUAUUAGGUUAUGGGGCUAGGGUAAGGUUUAAGGUUUUGGGUGUUAGGGUUAAAAUCACUGUCCAAAACCUUUAUAGGCACUCUUUUCCAACCUUUUGGAUUUAGUUUGACUAAAAAAAAAAGAAAAAUAAAAAAAAUAUAUUUGGGGUUUUCGGGCUUCCUGAAGGUAAUACCCGGGUAUUAGGUGAUGGGGCUAGGGUAGGGUUUAAGGUUUUUGGCGUUAGGGUUAAAAUCACUGUCCAAAACCUUUUUAGGAACAUGUUUCAGAACUUUUGUAGUUGGUUACACCAAAAAAAAUGUAAAAUGAUAAAAAAAAUAUUUGGGGUUUUCGGGCUUCCUGAAGGUAAUACCCGGGUAUUAGGUUAUGGGGCUAGGGUAAGGUUUAAGGUUUUUGGCGUUAGGUGUUAAAAUCACUGUCCAAAACCUUUGUAGGAACUCUUUUCCAACCUUUUGGAGUUAGUUUGACCAAAAAAGAAAAAGAAAAAAGAAAAAAAAAUUUGGGGUUAUCGGGCUUCCUGAAGGUAAUACCUGGGUAUUAGGUUAUGGGGCUAGGGUAAGGUUUAAGGUUUUUGGCGUUAAGGUUUAAAUCACUGUCCAAAAGCUUUUUAGAAACAUGUUUCAGACCUUUUGGAGUUGGUUACACAAAAUAAAUGUAAAAUGAAAAAAAAAUAUUUGGAGUGUUCAGGCUUCCUGAAGGUAAUAGACGGUUUUGGUUAUGGGGCAAUGGUAAGGUUUAAGGUUUGUGGCGUUAGGGUUAAAAUCUGUGUCCAAAACCUUUGUAGGAACAUGUUUCAGACCUUUUGGAGUUAGUUAGACCAAAAAAUAACGAAAAAUGAAAAAAAAUAUUUGGGGUUUUCGGGCUUCCUGAAGGUAAUACCCGGGUAUUAGGUUAUGGGGCUAGGGUAAGGUUUAAGGUUUUUGGCAUGAGGGUUGAAAACACUGUCCAAAACCUUUGUAGGAACUCUUUUCCAACCUUUUUGGAGUUAGUUAGACCAAAAAAAAUGAAAAAUGAAAAAAAAUUGGGGGUAUUCGGGCUUCCUGAAGGUAAUACCCGGGUAUUAGGUUAUGGGGCUAGGGUAAGGUUUAAGGUUUUUGGCGUUAGAGUUAAAAUCUGUGUCCAAAACCUUUGUAGGAACAUGUUUCAGACCUUUUGGAGUUAGUUAGACCAAAAAAUAAUGAAAAAUGAAAAAGAAUAUUUGGGGUUUUCGGGCUUCCUGAAGGUAAUACCUGGGUAUUACGUUUUGGGGCUAGGGUAAGGUUUAAGGUUUUGGGUGUUAGGGUUAAAAUCACUGUCCAAAACCUUUAUAGGCACUCUUUUCCAACCUUUUGGAUUUAGUUUGACUAAAAAAACAAGAAAAAUAAAAAAAAUAUAUUUGGGGUUUUCGGGCUUCCUGAAGGUAAUUCCCGGGUAUUAGGUUAUGGGGCUAGGGUAGGGUUUAAGGUUUUUGGCGUUAGGGCUAAAAUCACUGUCCAAAACCUUUUUAGGAACAUGUUUCAGAACUUUUGGAGUUGGUUACACCAAAAAAAAUGUAAAAUGAUAAAAAAAAUAUUUGGGGUUUUCGGGCUUCCUGAAGGUAAUACCCGGGUAUUAGGUUAUGGGGCAAGGUAAGGUUUAAGGUUUUUGGCGUUAGAUGUUAAAAUCACUGUCCAAAACCUUUGAAGGAACUCUUUUCCAACCUUUUGGAGUUAGUUUGACCAAAAAAGAAAAAGAAAAAAGAAAAAAAAAAUUUGGGGUUAUCGGGCUUCCUGAAGGUAAUACCUGGGUAUUAGGUUAUGGGGCUAGGGUAAGGUUUAAGGUUUUUGGCGUUAGGGUUAUAAUCACUGUCCAAAACCUUUUUAGGAACAUGUUUCAGACCUUUUGGAGUUGGUUACACAAAAUAAAUGUAAAAUGAAAAAAAAAUAUUUGGAGUGUUCAGGCUUCCUGAAGGUAAUACACGGUUUUGGUUAUGGGGCUAGGGUAAGGUUUAAGGUUUUUGGCGUUAGGGUUAAAAUCUGUGUCCAAAACCUUUGUAAGAACAUGUUUCAGACCUUUUGGAGUUAGUUAGACCAAAAAAUAACGAAAAAUGAAAAAAAAUAUUUGGGGUUUUCGGGCUUCCUGAAGGUAAUACCCGGGUAUUAGGUUAUGGGGCUAGGGUAAGGUUUAAGGUUUUUGGCAUGAGGGUUAAAAACACUGUCCAAAACCUUUGUAGGAACUCUUUUCCAACCUUUUGGAGUAAGUAAGACCAAAAAAAAAGAAAAAAGAAAAAAAAAUAGUUGGGGAUUUCGUGCUUCCUGAAGGUAAUACCCGGGUAUUAGGUUAUGGGGCUAGGGUAAGGUUUAAGGUUUUUGGCGUUAAGGUUAAAAUCACUGCCAAAACCUUUGUAGGAACUCUUUUCCAACCUUUUUGGAGUUAGUUAGACCAAAAAAAAUGAAAAAUGAAAAUAAAUAUUGGGGGUAUUCGGGCUUCCUGAAGGUCAUACCCGGGUAUUAGGUUAUGGGGCUAGGGUAAGGUUUAAGGUUUUUGGCGUUAGAGUUAAAAUCUGUGUCCAAAACCUUUGUAGGAAUAUGUUUCAGACCUUUUGGAGUUAGUUAGACCAAAAAAUAACGAAAAAUGAAAAAAAAUAUUUGGGGUUUUCGGGCUUCCUCAAGGUAAUACCCGGGUAUUAGGUUUUGGGGCUAGGGUAAGGUUUAAGGUUUUUGGCGUUGGGGUUAAAAUCACUGUCCAAAACCUUUGUGGCAACUCUUUUCCAACCUUUUGGAGUUAGUUAGAACAAAACAAAAAUGAAAAAUGAAACAAAAAAUAUUUGGGGUGUUCGGGCUUCCUGAAGGUAAUACCCGGGUAUUAGGUUAUGGGGCUAGGGUAAGGUUUAAGGUUUUUGGCGUUAGGUGUUAAAAUCACUGUCCAAAACCUUUGUAGGAACUCUUUUCCAACCUUUUGGAGUUAGUUUGACCAAAAAAGAAAAAGAAAAAAGAAAAAAAAAUUUGGGGGUUAUCGGGCUUCCUGAAGGUAAUACCUGGGUAUUAGGUUAUGGGGCUAGGGUAAGGUUUAAGGUUUUUGGCGUUAGGGUUAAAAUCACUGUCCAAAACCUUUUUAGGAACAUGUUUCAGACCUUUUGGAGUUAGUUAGACCAAAAAAAAUGAAAAAUGAAAAUAAAUAUUGGGGGUAUUCGGGCUUCCUGAAGGUCAUACCCGGGUAUUAGGUUAUGGGGCUAGGGUAAGGUUUAAGGUUUUUGGCGUUAGAGUUAAAAUCUGUGUCCAAAACCUUUGUAGGAAUAUGUUUCAGACCUUUUGGAGUUAGUUAGACCAAAAAAUAACGAAAAAUGAAAAAAAAUAUUUGGGGUUUUCGGGCUUCCUCAAGGUAAUACCCGGGUAUUAGGUUUUGGGGCUAGGGUAAGGUUUAAGGUUUUUGGCGUUGGGGUUAAAAUCACUGUCCAAAACCUUUGUGGCAACUCUUUUCCAACCUUUUGGAGUUAGUUAGAACAAAACAAAAAUGAAAAAUGAAACAAAAAAUAUUUGGGGUGUUCGGGCUUCCUGAAGGUAAUACCCGGGUAUUAGGUUAUGGGGCUAGGGUAAGGUUUAAGGUUUUUGGCGUUAGGUGUUAAAAUCACUGUCCAAAACCUUUGUAGGAACUCUUUUCCAACCUUUUGGAGUUAGUUUGACCAAAAAAGAAAAAGAAAAAAGAAAAAAAAAUUUGGGGGUUAUCGGGCUUCCUGAAGGUAAUACCUGGGUAUUAGGUUAUGGGGCUAGGGUAAGGUUUAAGGUUUUUGGCGUUAGGGUUAAAAUCACUGUCCAAAACCUUUUUAGGAACAUGUUUCAGACCUUUUGGAGUUAGUUAGACCAAAAAAUAACGAAAAAUGAAAAAAAAAUAUUUGGGGUGUUCAGGCUUCCUGAAGGUAAUACACGGUUUUGGUUAUGGGGCUAUGGUCAGGUUUAAGGUUUUUGGCGUUAGGGUUAAAAUCUGUGUCCAAAACCUUUGUAGGAACUCUUUUCAAACCUUUUGGAGUUAGUUUGACAAAAAAAGAAAAAGAAAAAAGAAAAAAAAAUAUUUGGGGUUUUCGGGCUUCCUGAAGGUAAUACCCGGGUAUUAGGUUAUGGGGCUAGGGUAAGGUUUAAGGUUUUUGGCGUUAGGUGUUAAAAUCACUGUCCAAAACCUUUGUAGGAACUCUUUUCCAACCUUA